CUAGCGACUUCAGAGUUUGAUCCUGGCUCAGGACGAACGCUGGCGGCGUGCUUAACACAUGCAAGUCGAACGGAGACUUGUGGAUAGAGGCUUCGGCCAAUUGAAACAAGUCUUAGUGGCGGACUGGUGAGUAACGCGUGAGGAACCUGCCUUUCAGAGGGGGACAACAGUUGGAAACGACUGCUAAUACCGCAUGACACAUUCGGAUCGCAUGGUCUGAAUGUCAAAGAUUUUAUCGCUGAAAGAUGGCCUCGCGUCUGAUUAGCUAGUUGGUGGAGUAAUGGCCUACCAAGGCGACGAUCAGUAGCCGGACUGAGAGGUUGACCGGCCACAUUGGGACUGAGAUACGGCCCAG
Molecule: ribosomal RNA, 355 nt
Filed under: uncultured bacterium
Lineage: Bacteria
Description: bacterial SSU rRNA
Rfam family: Bacterial small subunit ribosomal RNA
Source: RNAcentral